This 355-nucleotide ribosomal RNA is filed under the name uncultured Acholeplasma sp. RNAcentral describes it as "bacterial SSU rRNA". It matches the Rfam family "Bacterial small subunit ribosomal RNA", at positions 1028 to 1382 of the family's 1533-position model. The record is from RNAcentral. Lineage: Bacteria; Bacillati; Mycoplasmatota; Mollicutes; Acholeplasmatales; Acholeplasmataceae.
GCUUGCACAGGUGCUGCAUGGCUGUCGUCAGCUCGUGUCGUGAGAUGUUGGGUUAAGUCCCGCAACGAGCGCAACCCUUAUUGCUAGUUACCAUCAUUAAGUUGGGGGAACUCUAGCGAGACUGCCAGUGAUAAACUGGAGGAAGGUGGGGAUGACGUCAAAUCAUCAUGCCCCUUAUGACCUGGGCUACAAACGUGAUACAAUGGCUGAAACAAAGGGCAGCGAAGGAGCGAUCUGGAGCGAAACCCAACAAAGCAGUCUCAGUUCGGAUUGAAGUCUGCAACUCGACUUCAUGAAGUCGGAAUCGCUAGUAAUCGCGGAUCAGAACGCCGCGGUGAAUACGUUCUCGGGGUUU